Molecule: non-coding RNA, 91 nt
Organism: Xylariomycetidae sp. FL0641
Lineage: Eukaryota; Fungi; Ascomycota; Sordariomycetes
Source: the annotation of a GenBank genome assembly
UCCUCCGUGGCGCAAUUGGCUAGCGCGUCUGACUGUUAUUCGAAACAGAAUCGCAAUCAGGAGGUUGACAGUUCAAGCCUGUCCGGGGGAG